GCUGGUUGAUGAUUUGAUUCUUCUUGGGCUACAAGCUGGUGGGAAUGAAAAUGGUUUAGAAUCUAUGGAUAAUGCUGACUAGAGGUAAAUUUUUUGUUUUCAACCUUUUUGUUGCCCUUCGGAACCUUAGUUGUUUGCAUUUUUUCUUGCUUUCUAUAGAACGAAAUGAAGGAUGAAGAAUUUGUGGUUUUUUCUAGGCCUUGCACUUUAUUAAGUAUCAGCUUCAAUAUUGGAAUGCAGAAGUGGAGUGGUACAAAAUAUUAACAGAUACCAUACAGGUAAUUUUGUUUUCAUCUAAAUAUUAUAUAUAUUUAUGUCGUCGCUUCAAAUGUAUCUUUGGUUCGUGAGCAUUUCCGCGCUUCGAGUGUACAAGCAACAUGGAUUAGGAUUAGUAUGUGUUCUUCCUUGUCUCAUUUGUUUUACCUUCGUGUCGCGCACAUCUUCUCUUAUAGUCUAUAUAUUUUAAUUGAAAAUACUAUUGCCGAAAAGGAAUUCAAAUGAUCCUACUUUUCGAAGAAUAGUCAUUACUUAUAAAAAUAAAUCCAAAAAUGAGCAUGAGUCCAGUGCCGUGCACUUCCUAUAGGAGCUACCGAGUUCUUUUAUAUUCUCUUGACUGUAUUUUUUAUAUUCAUUGAUAUUUUAUUUUCUUUUUGCUCGGUAUAUAGCAUAUAUUUCUUGUCUUCUGAACUUUUCAAAUUCUUCUUGGUUGUAGAUGGAUGAGCGCUAGGGCUUAGUUGAUAGAUGUGCUCAACAGAGUGAUAUAAACCCUCAAGGAAUUGGUAUGUUAUGAGCCCUUUUAUUUUUCUGCAUAUGAUUGAGAUAUUUAUGUGUGUUUAUAGACUUUCUUUGACGUAUUUAAAUGAAUUGAUCUCUGAUAGUCUGAUAUUAAUAUUCUACGGAGUAGUGGCCGUUAAAUGAGCCAAUAUUAAUUUGUUGUGAGGAAAUCAUGCAGGUUGAGAAAUCCCAUAAGGAAUGGCCAGAAUUAUAGAUCUUCUUGGAAAUGCAUAGACAGGAGCAUUUGAUAACAGGUAAUUUACUGGGACAACAACUAUUUACCCCUUACUCUGAUCAGCUUAUCACCUCCACCAUUAAAAAUAUUCUUCUAGGAUUUUAAAUGCCAUUUCUUAUAAGGUUCCAACAGUUGAAGACUUUUACUUUUUCUUUGAAGAAAUUUUAAGGCUGAUAAGUGUUUCAAAGACUCCAGGUUUUCCCUUUUAUUGCAUUCUAGUCUUGAGGGUUCUUGUGGGUUUCAAAUUUGAUGUCCUGUACAAUUGGCAAGUCUUGCUUCUCUAUCCAUAUAUAUUUUGGGUGACUUGUUUUAUAUCAUCAUUUAAAAGUUCUGAUUUCAUAUCAGUAUAUGCUGCUCAAAGAAGGAAUUUUGUUUCUG
RNAcentral lists this long non-coding RNA (1387 nucleotides) under Aquilegia coerulea. RNAcentral describes it as "long non-coding RNA (ACOE_LNC000818)". The record is from RNAcentral. Lineage: Eukaryota; Viridiplantae; Streptophyta; Magnoliopsida; Ranunculales; Ranunculaceae.